Molecule: long non-coding RNA, 992 nt
Organism: Medicago truncatula (barrel medic)
Lineage: Eukaryota; Viridiplantae; Streptophyta; Magnoliopsida; Fabales; Fabaceae
Exons: 5
Source: RefSeq, a predicted model, not a curated record
AUGAUCCAUGCUACUGUGAGGAAGAAAAUCCAAUAUGUUUUUCAGCAUAAAUUGAGUGAGGGAAAUGUGUACAAGAUGUCAUACUUUUUCGUGGGUCCUAACUCUGGUGCGCAUAGGGCUACAUCUCAUAGUUAGAAGUUGUUUUUUUUUUUUAAAUGAAGACGAAGGUGCACCCAUGUGAAGGACCCUUCAUACCUUUGUACUGUCUUUCUCUGAAGAAGAUCAUAGAUGCAUGCUCUGAGAGUUAUGAUGUUGAUUAUUUGGUUGAUGUUGUUGCAAUCAUUAUUGGGAUUUCUAAUCAGAGGGAGUAAAUUUGUGAUGGAAAUAUUACUAAGAUGAUUCUUCUGGAGCUUACUGAUGACAGUGGGAAAUGCAAGUGUGCAUUGUUUGGUGAUUAUGUGGACUCUUUGAUGAAGAUGAUGGGGAAAUACACAGUUGGAUUGCCUGCGGUUGUUGUUCAGUUUACUAAGGUUAAGAUGCUCCGAGAGAAAGCGUCUCUUCAAAAUGUAAUGAACUCAUCAAGGAUUUUGAUCAACCCUGAUAUACCAUAGGUUGUUUCCCUUAGGAAAAGGAUGGUUAAGCUUGGGCUAGAACCCUCUGGUUCUAUUGAAGGAUGAUUUCCUUAACAUGUUUCCAAAGAAGUCUAUUGAUCCGUUGAAGAAUAGGUGUUAUGAUUGAGUUUUUGUUGUGGCUGCUGUUAUAGAUAGAUUGGUUGAUGGAGAAGAGUGGUGGUAUUCUGCGCGUAGAUGUCAUCGAAGCGUGACCGCUGAUUCUGGGUCUUAUAAUUGCAAAGGAUGUGUUAGACAUGUCAUCCAUGUUGUUCCUAGGUUUAUCUCAUAUUCAUCGAGUAUUACAAAUCUUCUUUUAUUUUUAUGGUGAUCAUCAUCUUUACUGUGAGGGUUGUAUUAGGUACAAGGUGAAGCUCCGCGUCAGUGAUGCUACUGGAUAUGUUGUGUUUCUUCUGUUUGAUAAUGAUAUGAACUACCUUCUUA